UGUCAAUGAUGAUAAAAGGAAAGGCUUGUUUCUCAGAAAAACAUUCGCAGUGGCCGCCUAAGAGCUUUCGCCCCGCCAGGCUUGAGAGCUAAUGCUGCCUAACUCUUCCUUGGAUGUCUGAGACA
Molecule: non-coding RNA, 125 nt
Organism: Amborella trichopoda
Lineage: Eukaryota; Viridiplantae; Streptophyta; Magnoliopsida; Amborellales; Amborellaceae
Source: Rfam